GGGGUGGUGUUCCCAUGUAUCUGCUGCCCUUGUCCUUCUAGAUGGAAGUGGUCGUGGGUUUGGAAGGUGCUGCCUGAGGAAGUUGAAUGCUGCAAGUAAUCCAAUAUCUUUGUGUUCUGGCAGAUUCCAUGGCUUCACAUGCUGUACUCUGCAAUCGCAGCCAUUGUUUUUACUCUGUUCUUGGCGUUUGACACCCAGCUGAUCCUGGGAAACAGGAAACAUUCCAUCAGCCCAGAGGAGUAUGUUUAUGGUGCACUCAGACUCUAUGUAGACAUUGUACAAAUCUUCAUCCACCUUCUUCAGUUGUUUGGAUCCAGAUGAAGACACAAGGUGCAAUGUUGUUACAAGCAAAACUCCUUGGCUUCCUUCAUUCUCGCCUUUCUUUGUCCAAAAUAACCUCGCGCUUGUAGAAUGUAGGAAAGACAUUACCUUCAACGCAAUUAGAAUCGUUAGUUGUAACUCCAGUUCUCAGAGUUCCUGGACUAUCCAGCCUAGUGCCAUCCUGCUCUCAGAAAGGAAUUAAUUACAAAGUAGAACAGCAACUGCUGGAGAAACUGAGCAGGUCUGACAGCCUCUGUGAAGAGAGAAUGACACAGUGAAUGUCUCUGGUUAAUGAGAUUUGAUGAGAACUGGAAAAAAGCAGAACAGUUUUUAAAUAAGCCCAAACUACAGGGAUAAUGAACAAAAGAGGGUUUGGGAUAAGCUGAAAAGUAAUUGAUCAGAAACAUUAACUGUGAUUUUCUGUGCACAUACUGCCUGACCUGCUGAGUAUUUCCAGCAUUUUCUGUUCAUUUUAGACUGUUCAUUGUGUUCAGCCUGAAGCAUUCCUCACAGAUACAUGGUGCCACUUGAGGAUCAGGAUAUCAAAGUCGUAACUUUCCAGGCAGCAUUGAUCCCAAGAUCCUAUUGACUUUAGAGGUUUGGAGAGCCUACACUGAGUACUUGGAAACACUGGAGAGGUCCCACCUGUGUCACCUUCCCAAGAUCUUCCAAAUUGAAGGGCAGGAGAGGGAGUCCGUCGGCAAUGUCCUCCCCAUGCCAUUGAGGGGCCAGUCUAUCCAAAUCAUCUCCACUGCACAGCCUGUGUCGCUCGUGAGCCUGAUCCCGGGUUCCCAAUGAGACUGCUCAACUGGAGUCUCCCAGGAGGAUGACAGGAAACACUUUUGGGACAUGCUCAAAGUUUCCCUGAAGAGAUCAAACAUCCCCUGAUGACCCAUGGAGACCCUGGCCUGUGAACGACCAAAAUGGAGAAAGUUCACUCAGGAAGACCCCUAGGAUAUCGGGAGACUCUUAUCGGGAAGAUGCGGAGCUGAAGAUGAGCUGUCAGAGGGAAUGGCAUAAACGCCCAAUCACCCACCAACCCAACCCUCCAAACGCAGCAGAGCCUGCAGAUCAUCCUAGAAGCCAUCGAACCCUGACUGGGAACAAGUCCCCCUCAGUCCCAGCUGAGAGACCCGGCUGAGAAAGUGUGAUCACCGAUAGUUAUACAAAGUGAACGUCAUCGGUCUCCAAUCCACUCAAUAACCACAGGAACAUAGGUUGAAGGCAAUUGGCAAAAACGUGGAGGAGGUGAUGAGGAGAACUGUUUGCGUUUUCCUCAGUGAGUUGUUGUAAAUUGCCUGGAAGGACGAUUGAAGCAGGUUUAAUAGGAACUUUCAAAAAAGGGAAUUGGAGAAAUGGUUAAAGGUGGAGAGUUUUGGUAAGGAGCAAAUGGGGGAAAUGGGAAAACCAGAUUUCGCAACCAAAGAGCCAGUAUAGGUGUGAUGGGUUGAAUGGCCAGCCUGUGUAAGAGAUGAUGGUUGUUUUGUUAUUCUCUGACUGACUUGACUUUAAGCUGUGUAACCCUGUCUACGUUUACCAUAAAACUGAGAGUACCUUACUCAUUAUGGUUUAACUUAUUUGCAUCUGAACAUGAGAACACAGUCACAUGCUCGUGUCAGCCAACAGCCAACGUUCUGUUUGUUUUAUUUUUCUGAAUGGUGCAGAUGAACUCUUCUUCAGAACUUGGACAAUAAACACUGGCUGAAGCAGCUAUGACCACAUUCCAACAAUGAUUGAAAAAGUACCAGGAGGAAGCGAUUCAGCCCCUCGAGCCUGUUACACAGGUAUGGGAGGAGACCACUCAGCCCCUCGAGGCUAUUACAAAAGAACAGGAAGAGGCCAUUCAGUUGCUUGAGACUGUUACACAGGAAUAGGAGGUGACCAUUCAGCUCCUUGACCUGUUACACAGGAACAAGAGACCAUUCAGCCCCUCGAGGCUGUUGCAAAAGAACAGAAAGCGGCCAUUCAGCCCCUUGAGACUAUUACGUAGGAACUGGAGGAGACCAUUCAGCCCUUCAAGCCUAUUACAUAGGAACAGAAGAAGGCGAUUCAGCCCCUCGAGUCUGUUACACUGCUGGUUAAACUCCUGGUCUGUUCUACAUGUGACUCCAGACCUACAGUGAUGUGGUUGACUCUUAACUGCCCUCUGGGCAAUUAGGGAUGGGCAAUAAAUGCUGGCCUAGCCAGCGACACCUUCAUGGCGUGAAUGAAUAAAAAAGAUUCAACCUUUCAAACCUGUUACACAGGAGCAAGAGGAGGCCAUUUAGCCCCUUGAACCUGUUACAAAGGAACAGAAGGAGGUGAUUCAGCUCCUCAAGACUGUUAGAUUUGAAAUAGGAGGCCAUUCAGCCACUCGAGCUUGUUACAUAGGAUCAGGAGGAGGCCAUUCAAUUCCUCAAGACUGUUCUGCCAUUUGGCAAAUCGUGAUGAUGUAUAUCUCCAUUCCAUUUAUCUGACUCAAUCUACUAUCCCUUGAUUUACUAAUCCAAUAAAAAAUUCAUCAAUUUCAGUUUGGAAAUUUUCAGUUGAUCCUCAAACCCCUCAGGAUUCAGGAAGAGAGAGAGUUUUAAAUUUCCACUUGCCUUUGGCUGCCAUUGUGCUUCUUGGUAUCACCCCUGAAUGGCUCAGUUUGACAUGAAGAUGUAGUUUCCUACCAGAGGAAACAUUUCUCCUGCGCUGAAUCUUUCAAGUCUUUUUGGUCACUUUGCAUAUCUCAAUCAGAUUGCAUCUCAAUUUUUGAAAUUGAUGAGGUUGCUCUGCAUUAUUGUAUUAACAUUAUAAUGAACAGUUGCUGCUUUACAAUUUUACUUACCUGCUGAAUGUUUACAAGGUUUGUUUCAGUCUCUAUUCUGUACAAUAUUGUAUUAAAAUGCUUUUGAUUACAAGUU
Molecule: RNA transcript, 3209 nt
Organism: Rhincodon typus (whale shark)
Lineage: Eukaryota; Metazoa; Chordata; Chondrichthyes; Orectolobiformes; Rhincodontidae
Exons: 2
Source: RefSeq, a predicted model, not a curated record